This 70-nucleotide transfer RNA is filed under the name Marmota monax (woodchuck). RNAcentral's name for it is "tRNA.Ala". The record is from RNAcentral. Lineage: Eukaryota; Metazoa; Chordata; Mammalia; Rodentia; Sciuridae.
GGGGCUGUAGCUCAGUGGCAGAGUGUUGCCUAGCAUGCAUGAGGCACUGGGUUCAAUCCUCAGCACCACA